RNAcentral lists this ribosomal RNA (274 nucleotides) under uncultured bacterium. RNAcentral's name for it is "partial 16S ribosomal RNA". It matches the Rfam family "Bacterial small subunit ribosomal RNA", at positions 523 to 796 of the family's 1533-position model. The record is from RNAcentral.
AUACGAAGGGGGCUAGCGUUGUUCGGAUUUACUGGGCGUAAAGCGCACGUAGGCGGAUUGAUCAGUUAGGGGUGAAAUCCCGAGGCUCAACCUCGGAACUGCCUUUAAUACUGUCAGUCUAGAGACCGGAAGAGGUGAGUGGAACUCCUAGUGUAGAGGUGGAAUUCGUAGAUAUUAGGACGAACACCAGUGGCGAAGGCGGCUCACUGGUCCGGUACUGACGCUGAGGUGCGAAAGCGUGGGGAGCGAACAGGAUUAGAUACCCUAGUAGUCC